GAUGAACGCUGGCGGCGUGCCUAAUACAUGCAAGUCGAGCGAACGGACGAGAAGCGUGCUUCUCUGAUGUUAGCGGCGGACGGGUGAGUAACACGUGGAUAACCUACCUAUAAGACGGGGAUAACUUCGGGAAACCGGAGCUAAUACCGGAUAAUAUUUUGAACCGCAGGGUUCAAAAGUGAAAGACGGUCUUGGUGUCACUUAUAGAUGGAGCCGCGCUGCAUUAGCUAGUUGGUAAGGUAACGGCUUACCAAGGCAACGAUGCAUAGCCGACCUGAGAGGGUGAUCGGCCACACUGGAACCGAGACACGGUCCAGACUCCUACGGGAGGCAGCAGUAGGGAAUCUUCCGCAAUGGGCGAAAGCCUGACGGAGCAACGCCGCGUGAGUGAUGAAGGUCUUCGGAUCGUAAAACUCUGUUAUUAGGGAAGAACAUAUGUGUAAGUAACUGUGCACAUCUUGACGGUACCUAAUCAGAAAGCCACGGCUAACUACGUG
RNAcentral lists this ribosomal RNA (497 nucleotides) under uncultured bacterium. RNAcentral's name for it is "partial 16S ribosomal RNA". It matches the Rfam family "Bacterial small subunit ribosomal RNA", at positions 28 to 507 of the family's 1533-position model. The record is from RNAcentral.